AGAGCGAACGCUGGCGGCAGGCCUAACACAUGCAAGUCGAACGCCGUAGCAAUACGGAGUGGCAGACGGGAUAGUAACACGUGGGAACGCGCCCUUCGGUUCGGAAUAACUCAGGGAAACUUGAGCUAAUACCGGAUACGCCCUUACGGGGAAAGAUUUAUUGCCGAAGGAACGGCCCGCGUCGGAUUAGCUAGUUGGUGAGGUAAUGGCUCACCAAGGCGACGAUCCGUAGCU
RNAcentral lists this ribosomal RNA (234 nucleotides) under uncultured bacterium. RNAcentral's name for it is "partial small subunit ribosomal RNA". It matches the Rfam family "Bacterial small subunit ribosomal RNA", at positions 26 to 288 of the family's 1533-position model. The record is from RNAcentral.